Non-coding RNA from Pelobates cultripes (western spadefoot toad), 1261 nucleotides. The record is from the annotation of a GenBank genome assembly. Lineage: Eukaryota; Metazoa; Chordata; Amphibia; Anura; Pelobatidae.
GUCAAUGCUCGCAGCUAUUCACUAACCAUCGCCUGUCAGCCUAUAUCUAUCUUCAUGUUUAGUCACAGGUCAGCUAAGUUGGGCUAAAUUCUGCCAUUACAGUUUAAUAAGGGGUUUAGUGAAUAUCACUGUGAACUUUUUUUAAUAAUGACCAAUUUGGAGUAUAGAGAGUAAAAGCCCCUGCAUGUUGAGGACAUAUUCCCCAUGUUGGAGAGUGCAUGAUAUCCCCCAGCCAGGCCUGGUAAUGGAUCUAAUCAAUGAGAGCUUGUCAUGCCAGUCUUGGGUCAUGCAAGGAAAAGUGCCAAGUCAAGCUAGGAGGGGCUCCUGGCUUGCACAGCCAGGGUGAGGAGGCUGUCUGAUGUCUGGACUUGAUACAAAGGAGCAGGGGUGGCCGAAAGGUGAAGAUACCAUGUGUUUUAGAACUAUAAUGCCCACAAUGCUUUGAUACGCUUAAAGCUGAUGUAGGGUCAUGGGGUUUGUAGUUUGACAGCCUUUUGGCCAACACUGACCUAACCACGUGUCUAGCCGUUUAAUUUUUUUUACUCAAAUAUAUGUAGACUUUUCUUUUUUUUUUUAUGUAGGACUGCCAUGUUCUCCAGUCCUGGCUGAGGUAGUAGUUUGUGCUGUUGGUCGGGUUGUGACACUGCCCGCUGUGGAGAUAACUGCGCAAGCUACUGCCUUGCUAGUGCUGGGGGUCAGCUGCAGGUGGAGACAAUGGCAUCAGGAAUUCCCUUUUGUAAUUGCCAUAGCAUUCUGAAACAUUUUAUAGUUUUUUUUUUUUUUGUAUGUGUGACAAUUUUAAAUGAUCAUUAUUUACCUGCUGGUUUAUAUUUCUGAAACUUAAGCUAUAUUCUGUUUUAUCCAUUAAGGUACUAUGGCAGAGUAGAGUGGCCAGUACGAAAAGAGCAGGUCAUUUCAUGUUCACACUGGGUCUUUUUGGUUGAAGGUUCAAUGUGCUUUUUUUUUUUUUUUUAAUUUGGUUUGUGUGAAAUAUUUGCAAGAAUUGGCAUUGUAGUGUCGUCGGAACACAACUUACACAUGAAAUGAAUUUAUUGUAAUACUAACCUUUCAACAGAGACGUGUCAAUCUUCAGUCUGUCAGGGCUUUGCAAUAUGGGUAGAUUAAACGUUUACUUAACAUAAAUGUUAUUUACAUUUGUUUCACAGUCUUUGUAACUUCAUUCAUUGACCGGUAAGAAGCUUAAUUCUUGAAAUAAAGUAGGUUCUAACUGGAACCCCAUUUAUUGCUUUUUGUGUCUGUU